Molecule: ribosomal RNA, 253 nt
Filed under: uncultured bacterium
Lineage: Bacteria
Description: partial 16S ribosomal RNA
Rfam family: Bacterial small subunit ribosomal RNA
Source: RNAcentral
UACGUAGGGGCCGAGCGUUGUCCGGAGUUAUUGGGCGUAAAGCGCGCGCAGGCGGCCUCGCGCGCCCGACGUGAAAGCCCCCGGCUUAACCGGGGAGGGUCGUUGGGGACGGCGGGGCUUGAGGGCGGGAGAGGUCGGUGGAAUUCCCGGUGUAGUGGUGAAAUGCGUAGAGAUCGGGAGGAACACCUGUGGCGAAGGCGGCCGACUGGGCCGACCCUGACGCUGAGGCGCGGAGGCGUGGGGAGCGAACGGG